RNAcentral lists this transfer RNA (26 nucleotides) under Plasmodium knowlesi. Its description in RNAcentral is "partial tRNA-Ile". Lineage: Eukaryota; Apicomplexa; Aconoidasida; Haemosporida; Plasmodiidae. The record is from RNAcentral.
AGGUUUUUAGUUUAAUGGUAAAACAU